UGGGGAAUAUUGGACAAUGGGGGAACCGUGAUCCAGCCAUGCCGCGUGUGUGAAGAAGGCCUUAUGGUUGUAAAGCACUUUAAGCGAGGAGGAGGCUCUCUUGGUUAAUACCCAAGAUGAGUGGACGUUACUCGCAGAAUAAGCACCGGCUAACUCUGUGCCAGCAGCCGCGGUAAUACAGAGGGUGCGAGCGUUAAUCGGAUUUACUGGGCGUAAAGCGUGCGUAGGCGGCUUUUUAAGUCGGAUGUGAAAUCCCCGAGCUUAACUU
RNAcentral lists this ribosomal RNA (268 nucleotides) under uncultured Acinetobacter sp. Its description in RNAcentral is "partial 16S ribosomal RNA". It matches the Rfam family "Bacterial small subunit ribosomal RNA", at positions 355 to 615 of the family's 1533-position model. Lineage: Bacteria; Pseudomonadati; Pseudomonadota; Gammaproteobacteria; Moraxellales; Moraxellaceae. The record is from RNAcentral.